GACGAACGCUGGCGGCGUGCUUAACACAUGCAAGUCGAACGAUGAAGCCUAGCUUGCUAGGUGGAUUAGUGGCGAACGGGUGAGUAAUACGUGAGUGACCUACCUUUGACUCUGGGAUAAGCCUGGGAAACUGGGUCUAAUACCGGAUACGACCAAUCUCUGCAUGGGGUGUUGGUGGAAAGCGUUAUGGAGUGGUUUUAGAUGGGCUCACGGCCUAUCAGCUUGUUGGUGAGGUAAUGGCUUACCAAGGCGACGACGGGUAGCCGGCCUGAGAGGGUGACCGGCCACACUGGGACUGAGACACGGCCCAGACUCCUACGGGAGGCAGCAGUGGGGAAUAUUGCACAAUGGGCGCAAGCCUGAUGCAGCGACGCCGCGUGAGGGAUGACGGCCUUCGGGUUGUAAACCUCUGUUAGCAUCGAAGAAGCGAAAGUGACGGUAGGUGCAGAGAAAGCGCCGGCUAACUACGUGCCAGCAGCCGCGGUAAUACGUAGGGCGCGAGCGUUGUCCGGAAUUAUUGGGCGUAAAGAGCUUGUAGGCGGUUGGUCGCGUCCGCUGUGAAGGCCGGGGCUUAACUCCGGUUUUGCAGUGGGUACGGGCUAACUAGAGUGCAGUAGGGGAGACUGGAAUUCCUGGUGUAGCGGUGGAAUGCACAGAUAUCAGGAGGAACACCGAUGGCGAAGGCAGGUCUCUGGGCUGUAACUGACGCUGAGAAGCGAAAGCAUGGGGAGCGAACAGGAUUAGAUACCCUGGUAGUCCAUGCCGUAAACGUUGGGCACUAGGUGUGGGGGACAUUCCACGUUUUCCGCGCCGUAGCUAACGCAUUAAGUGCCCCGCCUGGGGAGUACGGCCGCAAGGCUAAAACUCAAAGGAAUUGACGGGGGCCCGCACAAGCGGCGGAGCAUGCGGAUUAAUUCGAUGCAACGCGAAGAACCUUACCAAGGCUUGACAUGCAUUAGAUCGCGUCAGAGAUGGCGUUUCCCUUCGGGGCUGGUGUACAGGUGGUGCAUGGUUGUCGUCAGCUCGUGUCGUGAGAUGUUGGGUUAAGUCCCGCAACGAGCGCAACCCUCGUUCUAUGUUGCCAGCGGUUCGGCCGGGGACUCAUAGGAGACUGCCGGGGUUAACUCGGAGGAAGGUGGGGAUGACGUCAAAUCAUCAUGCCCCUUAUGUCUUGGGCUUCACGCAUGCUACAAUGGCCGGUACAGAGGGUUGCGAUACUGUGAGGUGGAGCUAAUCCCUUAAAGCCGGUCUCAGUUCGGAUUGGGGUCUGCAACUCGACCCCAUGAAGUCGGAGUCGCUAGUAAUCGCAGAUCAGCAACGCUGCGGUGAAUACGUUCCCGGGCCU
RNAcentral lists this ribosomal RNA (1345 nucleotides) under uncultured bacterium. Its description in RNAcentral is "bacterial SSU rRNA". It matches the Rfam family "Bacterial small subunit ribosomal RNA", at positions 28 to 1381 of the family's 1533-position model. The record is from RNAcentral.